RNAcentral lists this ribosomal RNA (275 nucleotides) under Rhipicephalus turanicus. Its description in RNAcentral is "partial 12S ribosomal RNA". The record is from RNAcentral. Lineage: Eukaryota; Metazoa; Arthropoda; Arachnida; Ixodida; Ixodidae.
AUUAUGAAAGCAAAAAAUUAUGGCGGUAUUUUAAGCUUUUCAGAGGAAUUUGCUCUUUAAUGGAUAAAACACCUAAAUCUUACUUAAAUUUGUUAAUUCAAUUUGUAUACCACUAUAAAAACAAUUUAUAACUUUAAUUGUUUAAAUUUAUUAAAUUAAAAUAUAUUAAGUCAAGGUGCAGUAAAAAUUUAAGGAUGAAGUGAAUUACAUUACUCUUUAGAGAAACAAAUUUAAAAUAAUACUUAGGAUUUGAAAGUAAAAUUAAAAUAGAAUGU